RNAcentral lists this ribosomal RNA (93 nucleotides) under Oscillospiraceae bacterium. The record is from RNAcentral. Lineage: Bacteria; Bacillati; Bacillota; Clostridia; Eubacteriales; Oscillospiraceae.
CCCACCCGUUCCCUUCCCGAACACGGCAGUUAAGCUCAUCCGUGCCUACGAUACUUGAGGGUCCACCUCCGGAAAAAUAGGUCGUUGCCGACA